GAUGAACGCUGGCGGCGUGCCUAAUACAUGCAAGUCGAACGAGUUCUCGUUGAUGAUCGGUGCUUGCACCGAGAUUCAACAUGGAACGAGUGGCGGACGGGUGAGUAACACGUGGGUAACCUGCCCUUAAGUGGGGGAUAACAUUUGGAAACAGAUGCUAAUACCGCAUAGAUCCAAGAACCGCAUGGUUCUUGGCUGAAAGAUGGCGUAAGCUAUCGCUUUUGGAUGGACCCGCGGCGUAUUAGCUAGUUGGUGAGGUAAUGGCUCACCAAGGCGAUGAUACGUAGCCGAACUGAGAGGUUGAUCGGCCACAUUGGGACUGAGACACGGCCCAAACUCCUACGGGAGGCAGCAGUAGGGAAUCUUCCACAAUGGACGCAAGUCUGAUGGAGCAACGCCGCGUGAGUGAAGAAGGCUUUCGGGUCGUAAAACUCUGUUGUUGGAGAAGAAUGGUCGGCAGAGUAACUGUUGUCGGCGUGACGGUAUCCAACCAGAAAGCCACGGCUAACUACGUGCCAGCAGCCGCGGUAAUACGUAGGUGGCAAGCGUUAUCCGGAUUUAUUGGGCGUAAAGCGAGCGCAGGCGGUUUUUUAAGUCUGAUGUGAAAGCCCUCGGCUUAACCGAGGAAGCGCAUCGGAAACUGGGAAACUUGAGUGCAGAAGAGGACAGUGGAACUCCAUGUGUAGCGGUGAAAUGCGUAGAUAUAUGGAAGAACACCAGUGGCGAAGGCGGCUGUCUGGUCUGUAACUGACGCUGAGGCUCGAAAGCAUGGGUAGCGAACAGGAUUAGAUACCCUGGUAGUCCAUGCCGUAAACGAUGAAUGCUAGGUGUUGGAGGGUUUCCGCCCUUCAGUGCCGCAGCUAACGCAUUAAGCAUUCCGCCUGGGGAGUACGACCGCAAGGUUGAAACUCAAAGGAAUUGACGGGGGCCCGCACAAGCGGUGGAGCAUGUGGUUUAAUUCGAAGCAACGCGAAGAACCUUACCAGGUCUUGACAUCUUUUGAUCACCUGAGAGAUCAGGUUUCCCCUUCGGGGGCAAAAUGACAGGUGGUGCAUGGUUGUCGUCAGCUCGUGUCGUGAGAUGUUGGGUUAAGUCCCGCAACGAGCGCAACCCUUAUGACUAGUUGCCAGCAUUUAGUUGGGCACUCUAGUAAGACUGCCGGUGACAAACCGGAGGAAGGUGGGGAUGACGUCAAAUCAUCAUGCCCCUUAUGACCUGGGCUACACACGUGCUACAAUGGAUGGUACAACGAGUUGCGAGACCGCGAGGUCAAGCUAAUCUCUUAAAGCCAUUCUCAGUUCGGACUGUAGGCUGCAACUCGCCUACACGAAGUCGGAAUCGCUAGUAAUCGCGGAUCAGCACGCCGCGGUGAAUACGUUCCCGGGCCUUGUACACACCGCCCGUCACACCAUGAGAGUUUGUAACACCCGAAGCCGGUGGCGUAACCCUUUUAGGGAGCGAGCCGUCUAAGGUGGGAC
Molecule: ribosomal RNA, 1478 nt
Filed under: Lacticaseibacillus casei
Lineage: Bacteria; Bacillati; Bacillota; Bacilli; Lactobacillales; Lactobacillaceae
Description: bacterial SSU rRNA
Rfam family: Bacterial small subunit ribosomal RNA
Source: RNAcentral